This 492-nucleotide ribosomal RNA is filed under the name uncultured bacterium. RNAcentral's name for it is "partial 16S ribosomal RNA". It matches the Rfam family "Bacterial small subunit ribosomal RNA", at positions 29 to 507 of the family's 1533-position model. The record is from RNAcentral.
AGUGAACGCUGGCGGUAGGCCUAACACAUGCAAGUCGAACGGCAGCAAAGUAAGUGCUUGCUUUUACGGGGGGCGAGAGGCGGACGGGUGAGGAAUACAACGGAAUCUACUGUUUCGGGGGGGAGAACGUAGGGAAUGCUACGCUCAUACCGCAUAAGAACUACGGGUGAAAGCAGGGGAACUUCGGACCUUGCGCGUGUGAAUGAGCCGAUGCCGGAUUAGCUAGUUGGCGGGGUAAAGGCCCCCGAAGGCGACGAUGCGUAGCUGGUCUGAGAGGAUGAUCAGGCACCCUGGAAGAGAGACACGGUCCCGACUCCUACGGGAAGAAACAGUGCGGAAUAUUGCGCAAUGGACGAGAGCCUGAUCCAGCACUACGGCGUGAAUCAAGAAGGCGUUGGGGUUGGAAAGCCAAGAUGUUGGGAGGAAAAGGCAGCACUUUUGUAGCCCAAGGUUCUGACGGUACCCAACGAAGAAGCAACGGCUAACUUCGUG